GAUCAUGGCUCAGGAUGAACGCUAGCUACAGGCUUAACACAUGCAAGUCGAGGGGCAGCGGGAUUGAAGCUUGCUUCAAUUGCCGGCGACCGGCGCACGGGUGAGUAACGCGUAUCCAACCUUCCGUACACUCAGGGAUAGCCUUUCGAAAGAAAGAUUAAUACCUGAUGGUAUGAUGAGAUUGCAUGAUAGCAUCAUUAAAGAUUUAUCGGGUGUAUGAUGGGGA
Molecule: ribosomal RNA, 226 nt
Filed under: uncultured bacterium
Lineage: Bacteria
Description: partial 16S ribosomal RNA
Rfam family: Bacterial small subunit ribosomal RNA
Source: RNAcentral